This 1192-nucleotide ribosomal RNA is filed under the name Acinetobacter soli. Its description in RNAcentral is "bacterial SSU rRNA". It matches the Rfam family "Bacterial small subunit ribosomal RNA", at positions 107 to 1293 of the family's 1533-position model. Lineage: Bacteria; Pseudomonadati; Pseudomonadota; Gammaproteobacteria; Moraxellales; Moraxellaceae. The record is from RNAcentral.
UGAGUAAUGCUUAGGAAUCUGCCUAUUAGUGGGGGACAACAUCUCGAAAGGGAUGCUAAUACCGCAUACGUCCUACGGGAGAAAGCAGGGGAUCACUUGUGACCUUGCGCUAAUAGAUGAGCCUAAGUCGGAUUAGCUAGUUGGUGGGGUAAAGGCCUACCAAGGCGACGAUCUGUAGCGGGUCUGAGAGGAUGAUCCGCCACACUGGGACUGAGACACGGCCCAGACUCCUACGGGAGGCAGCAGUGGGGAAUAUUGGACAAUGGGGGGAACCCUGAUCCAGCCAUGCCGCGUGUGUGAAGAAGGCCUUAUGGUUGUAAAGCACUUUAAGCGAGGAGGAGGCUCUUUUGGUUAAUACCCAAGAUGAGUGGACGUUACUCGCAGAAUAAGCACCGGCUAACUCUGUGCCAGCAGCCGCGGUAAUACAGAGGGUGCAAGCGUUAAUCGGAUUUACUGGGCGUAAAGCGCGCGUAGGCGGCCAAUUAAGUCAAAUGUGAAAUCCCCGAGCUUAACUUGGGAAUUGCAUUCGAUACUGGUUGGCUAGAGUGUGGGAGAGGAUGGUAGAAUUCCAGGUGUAGCGGUGAAAUGCGUAGAGAUCUGGAGGAAUACCGAUGGCGAAGGCAGCCAUCUGGCCUAACACUGACGCUGAGGUGCGAAAGCAUGGGGAGCAAACAGGAUUAGAUACCCUGGUAGUCCAUGCCGUAAACGAUGUCUACUAGCCGUUGGGGCCUUUGAGGCUUUAGUGGCGCAGCUAACGCGAUAAGUAGACCGCCUGGGGAGUACGGUCGCAAGACUAAAACUCAAAUGAAUUGACGGGGGCCCGCACAAGCGGUGGAGCAUGUGGUUUAAUUCGAUGCAACGCGAAGAACCUUACCUGGCCUUGACAUAGUAGAAACUUUCCAGAGAUGGAUUGGUGCCUUCGGGAAUCUACAUACAGGUGCUGCAUGGCUGUCGUCAGCUCGUGUCGUGAGAUGUUGGGUUAAGUCCCGCAACGAGCGCAACCCUUUUCCUUACUUGCCAGCAUUUCGGAUGGGAACUUUAAGGAUACUGCCAGUGACAAACUGGAGGAAGGCGGGGACGACGUCAAGUCAUCAUGGCCCUUACGGCCAGGGCUACACACGUGCUACAAUGGUCGGUACAAAGGGUUGCUACCUAGCGAUAGGAUGCUAAUCUCAAAAAGCCGAUCGUAGUC